AAGUUAGCCAAAGCAGCCCAGGGCCGCCGCCCAGCGCCCCCGAGCCCCGAGGAGAGCCGUCGCGACCGGGGGCUGCCUGGGCAAGGGCGGGGCGAGAGGGCAGAACGCCUGCUCUCGGACAGAUCUGGGGACCCUUCACCUGCCUCUACUACUGCAAAUGAUUGGAUAUUCGUCUGCCUUGGCUCUUCCCUAAUGUGUGGAACUAAUUUUGUUCACUCUGUUUCAUGCUGGACCUGGCCUGAAAAUGGGCCCUUAUAUUGUCUUUGCACUUUCCAACUUGCCAAGUUUCUGAAAGAAGGACCAAAGUAAUGCCAAGAACUCCCAGAUGAAGAGGACCUUCCUUAGACCUAUAACAGAUUCACUACUUGACUUUAGAGGGAAGUUUCAGCUAAUUCUCAGGAAAAGGUCAAAACAGGCCUGUGACUGUCCCUUGAAUACUGAAGGUAUAAACAAGCUUCUGGCUCCUCCAGGUCAAGCAGAGGAACACUUUUAUUAGAAUGAAGGGUUACUUCUUUGUUAUUCAAACACACACCCACACACAUCCUCUGUAGUCUCCCUAAUGAAAAACCUCAACAGAUGGAGAGCCUGAGCUCCCAAGUCCGCAGGCUGAGAAGAUGCACUUCACUCAAGGGCCAGUGGGCUGGUACAGACUAGGGAAGAGAAAAGGGACAAAGGCUGCUAGUAUAGGUAAUCACUAUCUUUUAAUACUCCUAACACAUAGAAAUUCGAAAAAUCUUGUUCAGCAAUGUUAGCAGCCUGUGAGCCUCAGAAACUAAUUUGGCCGAUGUGUCUCUGAUAGGGAGCUUAGGGCUGCACCAAGGGGAAACAUUCUCCUCCUGUAUUCUCUCCUCUCUGUCGUUUGAAAGCCUGUACAAAGAAAUGGUACAAAUGGAUGGUUAACUUAAUGAUUCCAUCAGAGGCAGAUUUUUCUCUGUCAGGUCCCUGGAUAAGGUGGAGGUCUGAAAGCCAGGAGACAGAAUAUGU
RNAcentral lists this non-coding RNA (984 nucleotides) under Pan troglodytes (chimpanzee). The record is from RNAcentral. Lineage: Eukaryota; Metazoa; Chordata; Mammalia; Primates; Hominidae.